RNAcentral lists this ribosomal RNA (901 nucleotides) under Bacillus sp. YY4. Its description in RNAcentral is "bacterial SSU rRNA". It matches the Rfam family "Bacterial small subunit ribosomal RNA", at positions 38 to 873 of the family's 1533-position model. The record is from RNAcentral. Lineage: Bacteria; Bacillati; Bacillota; Bacilli; Caryophanales; Bacillaceae.
GACUGCGGCUCUACAAUGCAGUCGAACGGUCACAUGGGAGCUUGCUCCCUGAUGUUAGCGGCGGACGGGUGAGUAACACGUGGGUGACCUGCCUGUAAAACUGGGAUAACUCCGGGAAACCGGGGCUAAUACCGGAUGGUUGUUUGAACCGCAUGGUUCAAACAUAAAAGGUGGCUUCCGCUACCACUUACACAUGGACCCGCGGCGCAUUAGCUAGUUGGUGAGGUAACGGCUCACCAAGGCCACGAUGCGUAGCCAACCUGAGAGGGUGAUCGGCCACACUGAGACUGAGACACGGCCCAUACUCCUACGGGAGGCAGCAUAUUGGAAUCUUCCGCAAUGGACGAAAGUCUGACGGAGCAACUCCGCGUGAGUGAUGAAGGUUUUCGGAUCGUUAGCUCUGUUGUUAGGGAAGAACAAGUACCGUUCCAAUAAGGCGGUACCUUGACGGUACAUAACCAGAAAGCCACGGCUAACUACGUGCCAGCAGCCGCGGUAAUGCGUACGUGGCAAGCGUUGUCCGGAAUUAUUGGGCGUAAAGGGCUCGCAUGCGGUUUCUUAUGUCUGAUGUGAAAGCCCCCGGCUCAACCGGGGAGGGUCAUUGGAAACUGGGGAACUUGAGUGCAGAAGAAGAGAGUGGAAUUCCACGUGUAUGCGGUGAAAGCUGUAGAGAUGUGGAGGAACGCCAGUGGCGAACGCGACUCUCUGUGUCUGUAACUGACGCUGAGCGAGCGGAAGCGUGGGGAGCGAACACGAUUAGAUACCCUGGCUAGUCCACGACCGUCAUACUAUGAGUGCUUACUGUUUAUGGAGGUUUCCUGCCCCCAUUAGCUGCUGCAGCUAACGACAUUCACAUCAGCGUACCGAACCUUGGGGGGGCAGCUAACGGGUUCGAACAAUC